CGCCAUAAAUACGCGAACAAUGACAAUCGUAGAUGUGGUGGCAAUCAUCGUUAUUAACGACACAAUGAAUAUGGCGUUAAGGAGGCGCGGUUGUAAUGACAUGACGUGAUGGUGUUAUUGGAUAAACGUCAUAACGCGGAGCGAUGGCGUUAUUCCAUAACGCGGAGUAAUGGUGUUGUUGAUUAACGCCAUAACGCGGAGCGACGGCGUUAAUCCAUAACGCGGAGUAAUGAUAAUGGUGUUAUUCGAUAACGCCAUAACGCGGAGUAAUGGCGUUAUUCGAUAACGCCAUAACGCGGAGUAAUGGCGUUAUUCGCCAUAACGCGGAGCGAUGGCGUUAUUCCAUAAACGUGAAGCAAUGGCGUUAUUAGUGACACGGAGUAAUGGUACAACGUGCAGUGAUUACGUUAUUGAUGGCAUUAUAGAAUAACGGCGAUGGCGUUAUUCAACACUGCGGAGUUAUGACAAUAAUUUCGCCAUAACGCGGAGCGAUGGCGUUAUUCCAUAAACGUGAAGCAAUGGCGUUAUUAGUGACACGGAGUAAUGGUACAACGUGCAGUGAUUACGUUAUUGAUGGCAUUAUAGAAUAACGGCGAUGGCG
RNAcentral lists this long non-coding RNA (601 nucleotides) under Rosa chinensis. Its description in RNAcentral is "sRNA RchiOBHm_Chr6g0288421". Lineage: Eukaryota; Viridiplantae; Streptophyta; Magnoliopsida; Rosales; Rosaceae. The record is from RNAcentral.